Molecule: long non-coding RNA, 1470 nt
Organism: Myotis brandtii (Brandt's bat)
Lineage: Eukaryota; Metazoa; Chordata; Mammalia; Chiroptera; Vespertilionidae
Exons: 4
Source: RefSeq, a predicted model, not a curated record
UUUCCACUUGGUCUUCCAUUUGUCUUGAUCUGAUUCUCAACAACAAAUGACUGCGGCCACCCAUAUCAGAACUGCCUUUGCGUGCUCUAUUUUGCUGUGCGAGCGGUAGCUGAAAGGCCAUUGUCUGUUUGUUAUUUUAGUCAGUGAAAGGGGAUGGAGGGAUCGCCCACUCAGAAGACAUAAAUGGGAAAGACUCCAGCUACCAAACCUCGCACUCCGCGCAGAAGGCCACCACGCCGCCCGAGCCCCAGCCCCAGCCGGCAGGAGCGAGCCAGAAGGGCAAGGAGGGCUCCGCCAAGGACAAGAAGACAGCCGCCUCCGAGAGCAACAAGCAGAGGAACAACAAGCAGGAAGCCAAAGAGCCGGCCCCCUGUGCGUGUGCAGAGCCGGCAGUGGCGGUGGCCGUGGCCCAGGCCAACGCGCUGCAGAACGGGGACAGGCCCCAGAGGAGACGCGAGAAGCGGAGCCAGUCCUUCAGGGGCUUCUUCAAGGGCCUGGGACCAAAGCGGAUGUUGGACGCUCAAGUGCAAACAGACCCCGUAUCCAUUGGACCAGUUGGCAAAUCCAAGUAAACAAAUCGCCACAGUUCCCACCACGUCCUCCUGCCACCAAGAGGCCUCCUCCCUGUCCAUCUCCUCCCCAGCCCACUCCAUGUAUAUAUUUUUUCCUCUGAUGGCCAUCGAAUGAAAUUCUUCCUACAAACCAAGCCUGAGCUGUUGUAUAUUGAGGUGUAUUAUUUACGUCUCUGGUCCGAUCUUUGCUGGUAAAUAAUCGUAAGGAUGGUUUAGCAGGUUAACUCGUCAGGUCAGAAGAGUGGAUGGUGGGGUAGGGUAGAGGGAUCUUUCUGGUUAAACUAUGAAGCGUGGCAGCGACAAGUUGCAGGAAAGAAAUGGCUGCCUUGCGUAAUUAAGCUUUGUCUUAAACGGGCUCACCAAGAAGAGAGGAGAAUCUGUUUGUUUAAGUUCACCUUUCAGGGAGGGAGGACAUGGCUCUGUAUUGGGAGGUUGCCAAUUUCCUGGAGUGGAAUGUGUGGGGAAUGAGAAAAGGAGUGAAUAAGAGUUGUUUUUUACAUAGGGUCCUUGAAAGUUACUGACAAGAGGGGCAAGAUUGACUGGAGAGGCCUUGAAACAGUUUGGGUAAACAAUUGCUUUUUUGAGGCUCAGUGACAAGGGCGAGGAUUACAACUUAAAAAACAAAACACAAAAAAACAAAUAAAUGCAGUUGCUAGUUUAUUUUGCAACACAAGGGGGCGCCCAGGGCUCCAUGUGAAUCCUGCAUCCUGUGUCCCUAACAAAGAUGUGGUCCCUGCGAUCUUACGUUCUUCAUGUUUCUCAGGUGGCUGAGGGGCUUGCUUCAUCUGUUCUGUCUGGCACUUGUCUCACGUCUGUCUGUAAUUUCCUAAUGUUCUCAGGAUGUGCUCUGGUAAAACCCUCCCCGUAACCCCAAUUAAUAAAAAUUUACAGAAGAUUA